RNAcentral lists this ribosomal RNA (485 nucleotides) under uncultured bacterium. RNAcentral's name for it is "bacterial SSU rRNA". It matches the Rfam family "Bacterial small subunit ribosomal RNA", at positions 8 to 507 of the family's 1533-position model. The record is from RNAcentral.
AGAGUUUGAUCAUGGCUCAGAACGAACGCUGGCGGCGCGUCUUAAACAUGCAAGUCGAACGAUCUGUAGCAAUACAGGGAGUGGCGGACGGGUGAGGAACACGUAGGAAUCUACCUUGAAGAGCGGGACAACUUUGGGAAACCGGGGCUAAUACCGCAUAGUACAGAGAUGUUAAAGGGCUAGCAAUAGUCGCUUCGAGAUGAGCCUGCGGUCUAUCAGCUUGUUGGUGAGGUAAUGGCUCACCAAGGCUACGACGGAUAGCCGGUCUGAGAGGAUGAUCGGCCACACUGGCACUGAGACACGGGCCAGACUCCUACGGGAGGCAGCAGUUAAGAAUCUUGCGCAAUGGGGGAAACCCUGACGCAGCGACGCCGCGUGAAGGAUGAAGGCUUCGGGUUGUAAACUUCGGUAGACUGGGAAGAAGAAAUACGUUCGUUGAGGGCGUAUAGUGACGGUACCAGUCUGAAGCCCCGGCUAAUUACGUG